RNAcentral lists this ribosomal RNA (301 nucleotides) under uncultured bacterium. Its description in RNAcentral is "partial 16S ribosomal RNA". It matches the Rfam family "Bacterial small subunit ribosomal RNA", at positions 509 to 807 of the family's 1533-position model. The record is from RNAcentral.
CAGUCGCCGCGGGAAUACGGAGGGUGCAAGCGUUAAUCGGAAUUACUGGGCGUAAAGCGCACGCAGGCGGUCUGACAAGUCAGAUGUGAAAUCCCCGGGCUUAACCUGGGAACUGCAUUUGAAACUGUCAGGCUGGAGUCUUGUAGAGGGGGGUGGAAUUCCAGGUGUAGCGGUGAAAUGCGUAGAGAUCUGGAGGAAUACCGGUGGCGAAGGCGGCCCCCUGGACAAAGACUGACGCUCAGGUGCGAAAGCGUGGGGAGCAAACAGGAUUAGAGACCCGCGUAGUCCCUGUCUCUUAUAC